UUGCAGCUAAGUGGUGAUGGGCAGUGGGAAGAUCCGCGGUGCUCGUCCGCCGUCCACCACGGCCUACUACGUGGCUCUGGCCGGCGUCCUUGGAUUGCUGUUGCUGCUGUGCUGCUACUUCGUGUAUUUCUGUAUUCGACGGGUUAAAAAGUUGACCGAACAAGGUCUUCCGGAACGAGUAGAGUCGGUACGGCCACCGCCACCGGACACGGUCGCCUACCCAGUGCAACCUGCGGUGCGUGCGAGUGCGUCUGCGAUGGCGCGCCUUUGCCACUCCCCCACCCGCGGAGCGCCACCUUCCUCGCCCCGAAACUUAGUCUCACCCUCCAGGGAUAGAUUCGUUUCAGCGCAACGGUCAAGUUCAUUGACCCCCGCACACACUGACACAGUACACCCGCGCACUCGAAGCCAGCUGCCGCCUCCGAACAUACUUACAUCUAGAACUACACCCAUUAGAAACGGUCCUAAAGUUAUUCCUCCGAGAAUAGAACUCGUAUCGAACGAAUAUAAUAUCAUGAGUGAUAGAACACCCUCGCCUAAGAAGAGUCUAUCACCCAGAAGCCAGAAUUUUUCACCGCGUAAAAGUAAGGAUACACUACCCGUUUGGAAAGACGUGGCUUUAGUGAGACGGAGAGAAGGGACUGUCAGCAAAGAGAGUCAACGAAAGCAUUUCUCUGCUCCGCCUCAGAUUGUCGUUGGGGACGUGGAGUAGCUACUGCUCCGCAUCUCCACUCGGGUAAACUUGAGGGUGAUCUUUUGCCCUAAUUCAGGCUCAUCGCACCGCGCGACACUUUAGCUGGCUAAACGUGUAAUCCUCUUAUUUAUAUUUAAUAAUUAAGAAUGGACUAGUAGUUAAGUUCUUUAAGUAAAAUUAAUUUUAGAAG
Molecule: long non-coding RNA, 884 nt
Organism: Pieris rapae (cabbage white)
Lineage: Eukaryota; Metazoa; Arthropoda; Insecta; Lepidoptera; Pieridae
Exons: 5
Source: RefSeq, a predicted model, not a curated record